This 475-nucleotide ribosomal RNA is filed under the name uncultured bacterium. RNAcentral describes it as "SSU rRNA". It matches the Rfam family "Bacterial small subunit ribosomal RNA", at positions 26 to 518 of the family's 1533-position model. The record is from RNAcentral.
AGGACGAACGCUGGCGGCGUGCUUAACACAUGCAAGUCGAGCGGAAAGGCCCUUCGGGGUACUCGAGCGGCGAACGGGUGAGUAACACGUGAGUAAUCUGCCCCUAGCUCUGGGAUAGCUCCGGGAAAACCGGGAUUAAUACCAGAUACGACCACUUUAGACAUCUGCUGUGGUGGAAAGAAUUUCGGCUAGGGAUGAGCUCGCGGCCUAUCAGCUUGUUGGUGAGGUAACGGCUCACCAAGGCGACGACGGGUAGCCGGCCUGAGAGGGCGACCGGCCACACUGGGACUGAGACACGGCCCAGACUCCUACGGGAGGCAGCAGUGGGGAAUAUUGCGCAAUGGGCGAAAGCCUGACGCAGCGACGCCGCGUGGGGGAUGAAGGCCUUCGGGUUGUAAACCCCUUUCAGCAGGGACGAAGCGAAAGUGACGGUACCUGCAGAAGAAGCGCCGGCUAACUACGUGCCAGCAGCCGC